GGACUACUCGGGUUUCUAAUCCUGUUUGCUCCCCUAGCUUUCGCAGCUGAGUGUCAGUAAUAGUCCAGAUACCUGCUUUCGCCAUUGGUGUUCCUCCCGAUCUCUGCGCAUUUCACCGCUACACCGGGAAUUCCAGUAUCCUCUCCUAUACUCAAGCCUGACAGUAUCCGUUGACCUCUCCCAGUUGAGCCGGGAGCUUUCACAACGGACUUAUCAAACCACCUACCUGCCCUUUACGCCUAGUAAUUCCGAGUAACGCUUGCCACCUUCGUAUUACCGCGGCGGCUGGCAC
RNAcentral lists this ribosomal RNA (292 nucleotides) under uncultured bacterium. Its description in RNAcentral is "partial 16S ribosomal RNA". The record is from RNAcentral.